GACAGGGGUCUCAAGCGUUAAUCGGAAUUACUGGGCUUAAAGGGUGCGUAGGCGGGCCUGUAAGUGUCCUGUGAAAUCCCCCGGCUCAACCGGGGAACUGCGGGGCAUACUGCGGGUCUUGAGGAAGGUAGGCGCCGAGGGAACAGUAGGUGGAGCGGUGAAAUGCGUAGAUAUCUACUGGAACGCCGAUGGUGAAGACGCUCGGCUGGGCCUUUCCUGACGCUGAGGCACGAAAGCGUGGGGAGCAAACAGG
This 253-nucleotide ribosomal RNA is filed under the name uncultured bacterium. Its description in RNAcentral is "partial 16S ribosomal RNA". It matches the Rfam family "Bacterial small subunit ribosomal RNA", at positions 524 to 776 of the family's 1533-position model. The record is from RNAcentral.